Molecule: ribosomal RNA, 501 nt
Filed under: uncultured bacterium
Lineage: Bacteria
Description: partial 16S ribosomal RNA
Rfam family: Bacterial small subunit ribosomal RNA
Source: RNAcentral
AUUGAACGCUGGCGGCAUGCCUUACACAUGCAAGUCGAACGGCAGCACGGGUGCUUGCACCUGGUGGCGAGUGGCGAACGGGUGAGUAAUACAUCGGAACGUACCUUAUCGUGGGGGAUAACGCAGCGAAAGCUGUGCUAAUACCGCGUACGCCCUGAGGGGGAAAGCGGGGGAUCGAAAGACCUCGCGCGAUUAGAGCGGCCGAUGCCUGGUUAGCUUGUUGGUGGGGUAAAAGCCCACCAAGGCGACGAUCAGUAGCUGGUCUGAGAGGACGAUCAGCCACACUGGGACUGAGACACGGCCCAGACUCCUACGGGAGGCAGCAGUGGGGAAUUUUGGACAAUGGGGGCAACCCUGAUCCAGCAAUGCCGCGUGAGUGAAGAAGGCCUUCGGGUUGUAAAGCUCUUUUGUCAGGGAAGAAACACCGGCUCUAACACAGUCCGGGAAUGACGGUACCUGAAGAAUAAGCACCGGCUAACUACGUGCCAGCCGCCGCAGUAA